RNAcentral lists this transfer RNA (55 nucleotides) under Steinernema litorale. Its description in RNAcentral is "tRNA-Thr". The record is from RNAcentral. Lineage: Eukaryota; Metazoa; Nematoda; Chromadorea; Rhabditida; Steinernematidae.
GCUAUUAUAGUUUAAAUAGAACGCUUGACUUGUAAACAAGAGGUUUACGGUAGCA